RNAcentral lists this ribosomal RNA (1073 nucleotides) under Mycolicibacterium monacense. RNAcentral describes it as "bacterial SSU rRNA". It matches the Rfam family "Bacterial small subunit ribosomal RNA", at positions 61 to 1151 of the family's 1533-position model. Lineage: Bacteria; Bacillati; Actinomycetota; Actinomycetes; Mycobacteriales; Mycobacteriaceae. The record is from RNAcentral.
GUCGAACGGAAAGGCCCUUCGGGGUACUCGAGUGGCGAACGGGUGAGUAACACGUGGGUGAUCUGCCCUGCACUUUGGGAUAAGCCUGGGAAACUGGGUCUAAUACCGAAUACACCCUGCUGGUCGCAUGGCCUGGUGGGGGAAAGCUUUUGCGGUGUGGGAUGGGCCCGCGGCCUAUCAGCUUGUUGGUGAGGUUACGGCUCACCAAGGCGACGACGGGUAGCCGGCCUGAGAGGGUGACCGGCCACACUGGGACUGAGAUACGGCCCAGACUCCUACGGGAGGCAGCAGUGGGGAAUAUUGCACAAUGGGCGCAAGCCUGAUGCAGCGACGCCGCGUGGGGGAUGACGGCCUUCGGGUUGUAAACCUCUUUCAGUAGGGACGAAGCGCAAGUGACGGUACCUACAGAAGAAGGACCGGCCAACUACGUGCCAGCAGCCGCGGUAAUACGUAGGGUCCGAGCGUUGUCCGGAAUUACUGGGCGUAAAGAGCUCGUAGGUGGUUUGUCGCGUUGUUCGUGAAAACCGGGGGCUUAACCCUCGGCGUGCGGGCGAUACGGGCAGACUUGAGUACUGCAGGGGAGACUGGAAUUCCUGGUGUAGCGGUGGAAUGCGCAGAUAUCAGGAGGAACACCGGUGGCGAAGGCGGGUCUCUGGGCAGUAACUGACGCUGAGGAGCGAAAGCGUGGGGAGCGAACAGGAUUAGAUACCCUGGUAGUCCACGCCGUAAACGGUGGGUACUAGGUGUGGGUUUCCUUCCUUGGGAUCCGUGCCGUAGCUAACGCAUUAAGUACCCCGCCUGGGGAGUACGGCCGCAAGGCUAAAACUCAAAGAAAUUGACGGGGGCCCGCACAAGCGGCGGAGCAUGUGGAUUAAUUCGAUGCAACGCGAAGAACCUUACCUGGGUUUGACAUGCACAGGACGCUGGUAGAGAUAUCAGUUCCCUUGUGGCCUGUGUGCAGUGGUGCAUGGCUGUCGUCAGCUCGUGUCGUGAGAUGUUGGGGUAAGUCCCGCAACGAGCGCAACCCUUGUCUCAUGUUGCAGCACGUUAUGGUGGGGACUCGUGAGAGACUG